CAACAACUGUUCCUUGACUAACCUGAGAGCCCGCGAAGUGAUUUUUAUCUCCGACAGCGUUCUUUCCAGACGAAAAUUGUGAGAAUGGCUGGAGAAUCAGAACCACCCCUACCUCCUCCUCCUCCACCUCCACCUCUACCACCUCCACCACCUGUAACAAUAAAACAGCCAUGCUCUACACUAGCACCUUCACCUUCUGCAGAUGAGGACCCAGUGGCUGGCAUUGCUUUCCGUGCAUCCAGAGCCACAUGGUACCACCGCCUGGUGCUGCAUCUCAACAAGGCUCCUUCGCUGCUCCAGGACGGACCCACCUGCGGCCUGGCUGCGGCCGUCAUGGCGCUGCGCCAGCUCGGUGUUCAUGACGUCACGGUCGGUCAGCUGCUGGAGGAGGCGCGGUCCCGCCAGAUGAGCAGCCAGGGCGAGAUGUUCUCUGCAC
Molecule: long non-coding RNA, 436 nt
Organism: Pollicipes pollicipes
Lineage: Eukaryota; Metazoa; Arthropoda; Thecostraca; Pollicipedomorpha; Pollicipedidae
Exons: 3
Source: RefSeq, a predicted model, not a curated record